UGGGGAAUUUUGGACAAUGGGCGAAAGCCUGAUCCAGCAAUGCCGCGUGUGUGAAGAAGGCCUUCGGGUUGUAAAGCACUUUUGUCCGGAAAGAAAUCCUUGGCUCUAAUACAGUCGGGGGAUGACGGUACCGGAAGAAUAAGCACCGGCUAACUACGUGCCAGCAGCCGCGGUAAUACGUAGGGUGCAAGCGUAAUCGGAAUUACUGGGCGUAAAGCGUGCGCAGGCGGUUUGCUAAGACCGAUGUGAAAUCCCCGGGCUCAACCUGGGAACUGCAUUGGUGACUGGCAGGCUAGAGUAUGGCAGAGGGGGGUAGAAUUCCACGUGUAGCAGUGAAAUGCGUAGAGAUGUGGAGGAAUACCGAUGGCGAAGGCAGCCCCCUGGGCCAAAUACUGACGCUCAUGCACGAAAGCGUGGGGAGCAAAACAGGAUUAGAUACCCUGGUAGUCCACGCCCUAAAACGAUGUCAACUAGUUGUUGGGAUUCAUUUCCUUAGUAACGUAGCUAAACGCGUGAAGUUGACCGCCUGGGGAGUACGGUCGCAAGAUUAAAACUUAAAGGAAUUGACGGGGUCAUAGCUGUUUCCU
This 587-nucleotide ribosomal RNA is filed under the name uncultured bacterium. Its description in RNAcentral is "partial 16S ribosomal RNA". It matches the Rfam family "Bacterial small subunit ribosomal RNA", at positions 355 to 1375 of the family's 1533-position model. The record is from RNAcentral.